This 334-nucleotide ribosomal RNA is filed under the name uncultured Glomus. RNAcentral describes it as "SSU rRNA". It matches the Rfam family "Eukaryotic small subunit ribosomal RNA", at positions 569 to 907 of the family's 1831-position model. Lineage: Eukaryota; Fungi; Glomeromycota; Glomeromycetes; Glomerales; Glomeraceae. The record is from RNAcentral.
AGCAGCCGCGGUAAUUCCAGCUCCAAUAGCGUAUAUUAAGGUUGUUGCAGUUAAAAAGCUCGUAGUUGAAUUUCGGGAUCAAUUAAUCGGUCGUACCUAUGGUACGUACUGAUUUUAUUGGUUUCUCCCUUCUGACGAACCAUGAUGUCAUUAAUUUGGUGUCGUGGAGAAUCAGGACUGUUACUUUGAAAAAAUUAGAGUGUUUAAAGCAGGCUAAUGCUUGAAUACAUUAGCAUGGAAUAAUGAAAUAGGAUGUUUGAUCCUAUUUUGUUGGUUUCUAGGAUCCACGUAAUGAUUAAUAGGGAUAGUUGGGGGCAUUAGUAUUCAAUUGUCA